GCUGAGUGUGGUGGUGCACACUUGUAGUCCCAGCUACUUGGGAGGCUGAGGUGGGAGAAUUGCUUGAGCCCAGAAGGUUGAGGCUGCAGUAAGCCAUAAUUGUGCUACUGCACUCCAACCUGGGCAACAGAGUAAGACUCUGUCUUCA
This 148-nucleotide non-coding RNA is filed under the name Gorilla gorilla gorilla (western lowland gorilla). The record is from Rfam by way of RNAcentral. Lineage: Eukaryota; Metazoa; Chordata; Mammalia; Primates; Hominidae.